Molecule: non-coding RNA, 23 nt
Filed under: Gossypium hirsutum (cotton)
Lineage: Eukaryota; Viridiplantae; Streptophyta; Magnoliopsida; Malvales; Malvaceae
Source: RNAcentral
GGAUUUAUGUGUCUCGAGAUGAA